RNAcentral lists this ribosomal RNA (392 nucleotides) under uncultured Synergistaceae bacterium. Its description in RNAcentral is "bacterial SSU rRNA". It matches the Rfam family "Bacterial small subunit ribosomal RNA", at positions 1000 to 1382 of the family's 1533-position model. Lineage: Bacteria; Thermotogati; Synergistota; Synergistia; Synergistales; Synergistaceae. The record is from RNAcentral.
UAUGAAAGUUAGAAGGACUCCGCUUCGGUGGAGAGCGUACACAGGUGCUGCAUGGCUGUCGUCAGCUCGUGUCGUGAGAUGUUGGGUUAAGGUCCCGCAACGAGCGCAACCCCUGCAUUCAGUUGCCAUCGGGUGAAGCCGGGCACUCUGGAAGGACUGCCAUCGACAAGAUGGAGGAAGGUGGGGACGACGGUCAAGUCAUCAUGGCCCUUAUGUCCAGGGCGACACACGUGCUACAAUGGCCGGCACAACGGGAAGCGAGUUCGCGAGGACGAGCGGAUCCCUUAAAGCCGGUCGCAGUUCGGAUUGAAGUCUGCAACUCGACUUCAUGAAGCUGGAAUCGCUAGUAAUCGCAGAUCAGCCAAGCUGCGGUGAAUACGUUCCCGGGCCUU